AUAUAAAAGCGGUACAACAAUUAUGUUACUAACUUGGUCAGGUCUGGAAGGAAGCAGCCAUACGAACCUCUUAUUGUGUGUACCACUUUUUAUUUUAU
RNAcentral lists this signal recognition particle RNA (98 nucleotides) under Erysipelotrichaceae bacterium. Its description in RNAcentral is "signal recognition particle sRNA small type". It matches the Rfam family "Bacterial small signal recognition particle RNA". Rfam says of the family: The signal recognition particle (SRP) is a universally conserved ribonucleoprotein involved in the co-translational targeting of proteins to membranes. Archaeal SRP consists of a 7S RNA and homologues of the eukaryotic SRP19 and SRP54 proteins. The record is from RNAcentral. Lineage: Bacteria; Bacillati; Bacillota; Erysipelotrichia; Erysipelotrichales; Erysipelotrichaceae.